CCAGACUCCUACGGGAGGCAGCAGUGGGGAAUAUUGCACAAUGGGGGAAACCCUGAUGCAGCGACGCCGCGUGAGCGAUGAAGUGUUUCGGUAUGUAAAGCUCUAUCAGCAGGGAAGAAAAUGACGGUACCUGACUAAGAAGCCCCGGCUAACUACGUGCCAGCAGCCGCGGUAAUACGUAGGGGGCAAGCGUUAUCCGGAUUUACUGGGUGUAAAGGGAGCGUAGACGGCAUGGCAAGCCAGAUGUGAAAUACCGGGGCUCAACCCCGGGACUGCAUUUGGAACUGUUAAGCUGGAGUGUCGGAGAGGCAGGCGGAAUUCCUAGUGUAGCGGUGAAAUGCGUAGAUAUCAGGAGGAACACCGGCGGCGAAGGCGGCCUGCUGGACCGUAACUGACGUUGAGGCUCGAAAGCGUGGGGAGCAAACAGGAUUAGAUACCCGUGUA
This 444-nucleotide ribosomal RNA is filed under the name uncultured bacterium. Its description in RNAcentral is "bacterial SSU rRNA". It matches the Rfam family "Bacterial small subunit ribosomal RNA", at positions 331 to 792 of the family's 1533-position model. The record is from RNAcentral.